RNAcentral lists this ribosomal RNA (497 nucleotides) under uncultured bacterium. RNAcentral's name for it is "partial 16S ribosomal RNA". It matches the Rfam family "Bacterial small subunit ribosomal RNA", at positions 28 to 507 of the family's 1533-position model. The record is from RNAcentral.
GAUGAACGCUGGCGGCGUGCCUAAUACAUGCAAGUCGAGCGAACAGAUAAGGAGCUUGCUCCUUUGACGUUAGCGGCGGACGGGUGAGUAACACGUGGAUAACCUACCUAUAAGACUGGGAUAACUUCGGGAAACCGGAGCUAAUACCGGAUAACAUAUUGAACCGCAUGGUUCAUUAGUGAAAGGCGGCUUUGCUGUCACUUAUAGAUGGAUUGCGGCGGAUUUGGCUAGUUGUUAAGGUAACGGUUUACCAAGGCAACGUGACGUAGCCGACCUGGGAGGGGGACGGGCCACAUGGGAACGGGGAAACGGCCCAGACGCUUAGGGGAGGAAGCAGUAGGGAAUCUUCCGCAAUGGGCGAAAGCCUGACGGAGCAACGCGGGGUGAGGGAUGAAGGUCUUGGGAUCGUAAAACUCUGUUAUCAGGGAAGAACAAAUGUGUAAGUAACUGUGCACAUCGUGACGGUACCUGAUCAGAAAGCCACGGCUAACUACGUG